Molecule: long non-coding RNA, 328 nt
Organism: Pomacea canaliculata
Lineage: Eukaryota; Metazoa; Mollusca; Gastropoda; Architaenioglossa; Ampullariidae
Exons: 3
Source: RefSeq, a predicted model, not a curated record
AGACCGUGUUCCCGGAUCUUGAUUCUCACACCUAUACUUCCUUUCUCUUGUUUACGCCAGUGCUGAGGACCAUAGAGAUAAUUAGAUGCUGGCACAAGGAACAUGGCGUGUGUGAGAGACACUCCAGUGUAACCCAGUUUCGAACCCUUCUGCCUCCUCACAGGUGAGGAGAGAAAAUGUUUAGAGUGUUCUCAAGUCACGUGACAGCAUUUGAGGUCACUGCGGAACAUGAUACAACACGGUGUUUCCAGAGUCGCAUGUAAUCCUGCCAUGUGUAGACGCGAAGACAGACAAUGAGCAGCGGAACAGAGAUCAGCCUCAUCCCCGG